This 339-nucleotide unclassified non-coding RNA is filed under the name Hevea brasiliensis (rubber tree). The record is from RNAcentral. Lineage: Eukaryota; Viridiplantae; Streptophyta; Magnoliopsida; Malpighiales; Euphorbiaceae.
CCCUGGAGUUGUGAUUUAAGCUUAUAGAACUUUUCAAUCUGAUGUCUCGUUCUUAUUAGGUCUUUUGCCAUUACCCUCACAGCUCCCAUCUGCCCUUGUUUAGCAUUCUUCUUUAUCUCCACAAUCAGCUUCUUUUCUUGAGCUUGAAGACCUUGUCUUUCCCGUUCUAUUUCUCUAAUCGACUUAUCUAUCAUCCUCUUAUUCUCCCUCAGAAGCUCUGCAGGAGUCUUCCUCCUCUCAAAGAGAAAACUCAUUUUCUAUCUUCUUCGUAAAAACUCUCUCUAUCUCUUUUCCCUUUCCCUUCUUCAAUGGAAGAUUGCUUCGCUUCGCUGUGUAUUG